Long non-coding RNA from Apodemus sylvaticus (European woodmouse), 2028 nucleotides. RefSeq lists it as uncharacterized. The record is from RefSeq and is a predicted model, not a curated record. Lineage: Eukaryota; Metazoa; Chordata; Mammalia; Rodentia; Muridae. The transcript is spliced from 3 exons.
CCAGGCCUCAGGCUGGGAAACUGAGGUCUUGGCUUGGAAAUAAUAAUAAUUAAUGAUAAGAAAGAAAAGGAGGCUACCACAGGGCUUGCACGUCCACCGUAGCUGAGACAGCUGCACUGUCUUCCUGAGUGGCGUUUGUACCCAGGUGGUUCAAUUAGGAGCAGUUCGCAGCGAGCAGCUAGCAGGAUGUGGAUGCUUGGCUGAAAUGGAGUAAGCCCACAGAAGUUGGAAGAGGCAUUGCAUCCCCUGGAACUGAAGUCACAGACGUUGUGAGCUGCCAUGUGGGUGUUGGGGAACAGAAUCUGGGUCCUGUGCAAGAGCACUCUCCGGACCAGCCCUCAAGGCUGAAGAGAAGGUCGGAAUUAUCCAGAGAAGGACUUUACAAUAGCCAUAAAUAAUAUGAAAUAUUUUGAUGUAACUCUAACCAAGCAAGUGAAAGACCCAUAUGACAAGAAUUUCAAGUUGCUGAAGAAAGAAACUGAGGAAGAUAUCAGAAGAUGGAAAGAUAUCCCAUGCUCAUGGAUAGGUAGGAUUAACAUAGUAAAAAUGGCUAUCUUACCAAAAGCAAUCUACAGAUUCAGUGCAAUUCCCAUGAAAAUUCCAACACAAUUCUUUACAGACCUUAAUAGAUCAACUCUCAACUUCAUUUUUUUUUUAAAUCCAAGAUAGUUAAAACAAUCCUGUACAAUCCAAGAACUUCUGGAAGUAUCACCACCCCUGACUUCAAGCUAUACUACAGCGCAAUAGUAAUAAAAACCAUAAGGUGUUGGCAUAAAAACAGGUUGAUCAAUGGAAAAGAAUUGAAGACUCAGAAAUAAAUACACACACACACCUAUGGACAAUUUGACAAAGAAGCCCAAACCAUAUAAUGGAAAAGGAAGAGCAUCUUUCAUAAAUGGUGCUGGUUUAACUGGAUGUCUGCAUGUAGAAGAAUGCAAUCCAUAUCUAUCACCCUGCACAAAACUCAGGUCUAAGUAGAUCAAAGACCUCAACAUAAAACCAGAUACACUAAGUCUAAUAGAGAAAGUGAGGAAACUCCUUGAAUUCAUUAGCACAGGAAAUAACUGAACAGAACACCCAUAGUUCAAGCACUAAGAUGAACAAUAAAUGGAACCUGAUGAAACUGAAAAAGUUUUUCAAGGCUAAGGACACCACCAAUAGAACAAAAAAGCAGUCCACAGAAUGGGAAAAGAUCUUCACCAACCCUGCGUCCAACGAGGACUGAUAAUUCAAAUACAUAAAGAACUCAAGGAAUUAGAUAUCAACAAAUCAAGUAAGCCAAUUGAAAAAUGAAGUACAGAGCUAAGCAGAGAAUUCUCAACAGAGGAAUCUCAGAUGGCUGAGACCCUUAGAUGUUCAACAUCUUUAGUCAUCAUGGAAAGUCUUUCUGCUUCUUCUGGUUAAGUUGUUCUGGAUUCUGGAUGUUCCAGUUUCUGAGAUGAUUCUGCUGGGCAAUCGGUGCUGACAGCCCUUGACUAGGCACCCCGCUGCUGCCUUUUUGAACACGCUCACCUUGCUUUUCCAGCUCCUUCACACAGUCCUUCCUCUUUUCCAAGUCCCUGGGGAAGUGGUAGGGGUAGACCCGAAGGACAAACCACCUACAGUCUAAUUUUUAAAUAUCUCUUUUAUUAUUUGUGACAUUUCAUACAACUUGACUCUUUUUUCCUCAUUAAUAUAAUUCGGGCUACUUAGGAAAUUAACCUGAGCAAUACUCAAAAAAAACAUCAGUGAAGCCACCUAUUCCAAGGCAGCCCACUGCUGCUGCUAGCAUGUGAGCCUAGUUUUUGGAGAUGCCUAGUUCCCCUUGAGAACACUAUUCUCCUGUCUUACCAUAGGAGAUGGCAACAGCCGAAAGGCCAAGUCUAGCUCACUUGGUGUUUCUAUGAUUUGUUUUUUGAGAUUGGUCUUGUAAGUAUCUACAGAAGAGGCUGGCCUUGAACUCACAGAUAUUCAUUUGCCUCCAUCUCCCAAGUGUUUGGAUUAAAAACGUGUGUCCCCACUCCCCAUUAUAAAUAAAGUUUUAUUGGA